AUUGGAACCCGUUCGCGGGGUCCGUUUAAUCAGGAGAAGCCUCAUGGCCCUCAGCGUUGAAGAAAAAGCUAAGAUCGUUGCCGAACACCAGCAAGCCGCC
RNAcentral lists this non-coding RNA (100 nucleotides) under Pseudomonas sp. URMO17WK12:I11. Its description in RNAcentral is "S15". It matches the Rfam family "Ribosomal S15 leader". Rfam says of the family: The E. coli Ribosomal S15 gene 5' UTR can form two alternative structures. One that is a series of three hairpins, The other includes a pseudoknot. This structure causes translational regulation of the S15 protein. Lineage: Bacteria; Pseudomonadati; Pseudomonadota; Gammaproteobacteria; Pseudomonadales; Pseudomonadaceae. The record is from RNAcentral.